GAUGAACGCUAGCUACAGGCUUAACACAUGCAAGUCGAGGGGAAACGAUAGGGAAAGCUUGCUUUUUCUAGGCGUCGACCGGCGCACGGGUGAGUAACGCGUAUCCAACCUGCCCAUCACUUGGGGAUAACCUUGCGAAAGUAAGACUAAUACCCAAUGACGUCUCUAGAAGACAUCUGAAGGAGAUUAAAGAUUUCUCGGUGAUGGAUGGGGAUGCGUCUGAUUAGCUUGUUGGCGGGGUAACGGCCCACCAAGGCGACGAUCAGUAGGGGUUCUGAGAGGAAGGUCCCCCACAUUGGAACUGAGACACGGUCCAAACUCCUACGGGAGGCAGCAGUGGGGAAUAUUGGUCAAUGGACGAGAGUCUGAACCAGCCAAGUAGCGUGCAGGAAGACGGCCCUAUGGGUUGUAAACUGCUUUUAUAAGGGAAUAAAGUGAGUCUCGUGAGACUUUUUGCAUGUACCUUAUGAAUAAGGACCGGCUAAUUCCGUGCCAGCCGCCGCCGUAA
This 508-nucleotide ribosomal RNA is filed under the name uncultured bacterium. Its description in RNAcentral is "partial 16S ribosomal RNA". It matches the Rfam family "Bacterial small subunit ribosomal RNA", at positions 28 to 523 of the family's 1533-position model. The record is from RNAcentral.